UACAGAGGGGGCAAGCGUUGUUCGGAAUUACUGGGCGUAAAGGGCGCGUAGGCGGCCGCCUAAGUCAGACGUGAAAUCCCUCGGCUCAACCGGGGAACUGCGUCUGAUACUGGGUGGCUUGAAUCCGGGAGAGGGAUGCGGAAUUCCAGGUGUAGCGGUGAAAUGCGUAGAUAUCUGGAGGAACACCGGUGGCGAAGGCGCUCUGCUGGACCAUAACUGACACUCAGGGACGAAAGCUAGGGGAGCGAAUGGG
This 253-nucleotide ribosomal RNA is filed under the name uncultured bacterium. RNAcentral's name for it is "partial 16S ribosomal RNA". It matches the Rfam family "Bacterial small subunit ribosomal RNA", at positions 524 to 776 of the family's 1533-position model. The record is from RNAcentral.